AAUGCAGUGUUUCUUAUGACAGGGGACUCAGAGCAGCAUUACUUUGAGGGUUUACUGGUAAAUUUAGGUGUAUAUUUAAGUCUUAUAAGGCUUACUUAGUUUUAACCUUUCCUUCUCCUUUAACAUCCGAAAUUCCAUUUUUUUUAAACCAGAAAAUUCAGCUCUUCUAGUGCCAGAGAAUGCAAUUCCACUCGAUGCACCAGUCCCUGGACCCCCUCCUGCAUGGGAAAGGCCUAGACACCCUUCAGCAGCGACUUUCAACAACUAUACUUGGGUGCACUGGUGAUUGUGGGGCUUUCUGGCGUGAUUUAUCACUUGCAUUACACAGAGGCUACACUAUG
This is a long non-coding RNA of Xenopus laevis (African clawed frog), 341 nucleotides long. RefSeq lists it as uncharacterized. The record is from RefSeq and is a predicted model, not a curated record. NCBI's taxonomy places the organism in Eukaryota, Metazoa, Chordata, Amphibia, Anura, Pipidae. The transcript is spliced from 2 exons.